AAACCAUAUGACAAUUUUGGAUAAAUUUCUCACGACGGUCAUCUGAGACACCUCAAUGUGUCAUAAUUGAUGCUAUCAUCCAAUGUUUAUGAUGGUU
Molecule: small nucleolar RNA, 97 nt
Organism: Cornus florida
Lineage: Eukaryota; Viridiplantae; Streptophyta; Magnoliopsida; Cornales; Cornaceae
Product: small nucleolar RNA Z161/Z228
Exons: 1
Source: RefSeq, a predicted model, not a curated record